CUUGAAAUCAAUCAGUUAAAGUAAUGUCGAUCAUUUCUACUUGAUCAUGCGUAGUCAGUCAAUUAAUAAUAAUCUCUGAUUCUGUUCUGAUUGUCUGUCCCGUGUGUCAGUUUGUGUUGUUUCGAGUCGUUGUUUAUAAGUUAGUCAGUCUCCUGGUGGGUGGCUGUGAUGGAGAGGGAGGUCUGGUGGCGAUAAUGAUGGUUAUGUAUGCUUACACGGUGUUUGUUGUUAUGUUUUAUAAGGACGAUGAAUGAAGGCUGGUUUUACUGCAUUGUAUCCCUGAACCCCGCAGACGUAAUAAGGUAUUUAUGUUCUGUUUACCUUUUGUCUUUGCUUCCAUGUUUUUUAUUGAUUCAGUUGCUGUCGCGGAUGGAUGGGAGAAAUUUUGCAAUCAGGUAGCUAGGUCUGUGAUUUUGCUCCUUAAAAAGUUCUUGUUUAUGAUACUGUUGAGAGGGUACAAAAUGAAGUCGUGAAUUGAUGCAGCAUUUUGUCGAAGCUGAUUGUGUCGGUUGUAGGUAGAAUAUAAUUUUGUAGAUGCAUUGAUGAAGUCAAGUUUCAUGUUUUUGAAUUCUGAAAUGAUAACAUGUACUGAAUUUGGAACGUAGUGUCAUUGUAGUAUUGGAAUCUGGAGAACAGAGAGGAAGUGACAUGUUGCGGCAUAUUUUACCACCAUGUCUCAAUUCUGCAACCUCCCUGCUCUUUAGAAUGGUUAUGGGAAGUGGUUGCUGCAGCUUUUUGUGUGAUUGUUUGAGCAUCUUAAACAGGCCCUCUGUUGGAACUUGGGUGACUGCAAAAGACUAUUCAGGCCUAAACUUAGUAGGAUCGAGGUGAACUGACAAAUCUUUGACUCUGCUUUUGCUGGACAGUUGUUGCUGCAACCAGCACUGCUAGAUAUACUUUCUUUCCAUAUGAUGACUUUGUGGACGAUAAUAUGGAUGUUGAACUUGGAUUAGGGGAGCUAUCAAAUUGUUAACUAUGAUUUAGAUAUUCAUGCCAGUCUGUUGUAUUUGGCCUUCGCUUUUAGAUUCUGAAAACCUUUAAGGAGGUCGAUUCUCAACACCUUUUAGCUAUCUUGACUGAAAAAAAGUACAUAAUUUGUUGUGUGCAUAGUUGGACUAUUGGCAUGCCUUGGGAACUUGGAUUGUUCUCACAAUAUUGGCAGUCAUUGUUAGAGGCUGGUUUUAUGUUGUCUAACAUAUUUAAAAAACUGGUUCGUGUUAAGGCUAAUCAAUCUGCGGUUCCAAGUUUUGUGUGUGUAUUAUCUAGGUUAAUAGGCAGGAGCCCAGGGGGAAUCUGAAGACAUCCCUUCAAUUAGGACAUGAUAAAACUAAGCCAUCAAGUAAUGUUUCUCAAGAAGUAUGGAAAAAUAUGCAAAACGCAAAUUCUGAUUCCCCAAGACCAUAUGCUUCGAUUUGUGAGAAUGCUGUCUUAUUGGACAAGUUCUUAACAAACCUACUUUCCCUCUAUGUAACAAAUUCUCUGGUCAUAGGAUAGCUAUGUUAGUACUCCAAAGAAUGUCAUUUUCCUUAUUGACAUGUACGGUGAGUUGUAGAUGUUAUUUAUGCAUUUCGAAUUCUGGAAAUGGUUGAUCUGUGGCAAUAAAUUCUAGAUGAAAUUUUUCUGUGGAAAGGGAAAUGUAUUUGUUGUUUUUUCUGGGUGGUGAAAUAGACAUGGUUGGAGGAGCAAGAGGAAGGAAAUGCGAAUUGUCGACAUGAUACAGGUCAUCAACAACUGGUUCUACAGGCAGAUAGAGAUGACGUUUUCAAGGUAGCACAUGAUGAAGAUUGAGGGUUGAGGUUAAAGGGCCAUAGUUCUCAUAUUUCUUUUAUUAAAAAAGGAGGUUAAUUAUUUGUUCAUCCAGGUUGUGACAGAGAUGAAAAAAGUGUUAUGGUGGUUCUGGUAGUGAGGUGAUUGUAACGCAUAAAGAACUUUUGAUUCAUCGCAGAUCCUUUUCAAGCUUGCUAUUACCUUGAGAUAUCUAGAUUUGGGAUGGAUAAGACAGAAAAGGUCUGGUCCUUCAAACCAUAUCGUGUCUUUGCCCUGAUCUCUAGUGCUUCUAGUUUCUUAGAACAUUAAUCUCUGCUAUCAAUGCAACAUGAACCACUUUGAGCAGUCUUCGGAGGCUGUUAAUACUGCGGAAACGAUGAACCUUUUUGGUUACACCGCAGGCUAAGAUAAUUCCCUCUUUGUUUUCUCUCAGCAUGGUCUGAAUCAGUAGUUAAAUUAUUCUUCUUUGUUAAACAAUCCGUUCGCUCAGUUGUUUUUUGUGCUAAAGAACUCGAGUGAGGUAAA
Molecule: long non-coding RNA, 2292 nt
Organism: Populus euphratica (Euphrates poplar)
Lineage: Eukaryota; Viridiplantae; Streptophyta; Magnoliopsida; Malpighiales; Salicaceae
Exons: 2
Source: RefSeq, a predicted model, not a curated record